This 83-nucleotide transfer RNA is filed under the name Bacteroidota bacterium. RNAcentral describes it as "Bacteroidetes bacterium (sediment metagenome) tRNA-Tyr". It matches the Rfam family "tRNA". From Rfam's summary of the family: Transfer RNA (tRNA) molecules are approximately 80 nucleotides in length. Their secondary structure includes four short double-helical elements and three loops (D, anti-codon, and T loops). The record is from RNAcentral. Lineage: Bacteria; Pseudomonadati; Bacteroidota.
GGUGGGGUACCGAAGUGGCCAACCGGGACAGACUGUAAAUCUGUUGUCAUACGACUUCGUAGGUUCGAAUCCUACCCCCACCA